CCUACGGGCGGCAGCAGUGGGGAAUAUUGCACAAUGGGGGAAACCCUGAUGCAGCGACGCCGCGUGAGUGAAGAAGUAUUUCGGUAUGUAAAGCUCUAUCAGCAGGGAAGAAGAAAGACGGUACCUGACUAAGAAGACCCGGCGAACUACGUGCCAGCAGCCGCGGGAAUACGUAGGGGGCAAGCGUUAUCCGGAUUUACUGGGUGUAAAGGGAGCGUAGACGGCGGUGCAAGUCUGAAGUGAAAGCCCAGGGCUCAACCCUGGGACUGCUUUGGAAACUGUGGAGCUGGAGUGCUGGAGAGGUAAGUGGAAUUCCUAGUGUAGCGGUGAAAUGCGUAGAUAUUAGGAGGAACACCAGUGGCGAAGGCGGCUUACUGGACAGUAACUGACGUUGAGGCUCGAAAGCGUGGGGAGCAAACAGGAUUAGAUACCCCAGUAGUC
Molecule: ribosomal RNA, 441 nt
Filed under: uncultured bacterium
Lineage: Bacteria
Description: partial 16S ribosomal RNA
Rfam family: Bacterial small subunit ribosomal RNA
Source: RNAcentral